This 968-nucleotide ribosomal RNA is filed under the name Puccinia oahuensis. RNAcentral's name for it is "eukaryotic LSU rRNA". It matches the Rfam family "Eukaryotic large subunit ribosomal RNA", at positions 30 to 943 of the family's 3401-position model. The record is from RNAcentral. Lineage: Eukaryota; Fungi; Basidiomycota; Pucciniomycetes; Pucciniales; Pucciniaceae.
GAACUUAAGCAUAUCAAUAAGCGGAGGAAAAGAAACUAACAAGGAUUCCCUUAGUAACGGCGAGUGAAGAGGGAAAAGCCCAAAUUUGUAAUUGAAUCCUUUCAGGGUUUGAGUUGUAAUUUUGAGAACUGUUUUCAGUACUGGACCAUAUAUAAGUCUGUUGAAAAGCAGCAUCAUUGAGGGUGAUAAUCCCGUUUAUGAUAUGGAUGCCCAUGUGCACUAUGAUACAGUUUCUAAGAGUCGAGUUGUUUGGGAAUGCAGCUCAAAGUGGGUGGUAAAUUCCAUCUAAGGCUAAAUAUAGGUGAGAGACCGAUAGCAAACAAGUACCGUGAGGGAAAGAUGAAAAGAACUUUGGAAAGAGAGUUAACAGUGCGUGAAAUUGUUAAAAGGGAAACACUUAAAGUUAGACUUGUUGUUGUUAGUUCAACUCUUUUUAAAGGGUUUAUUCUAAUGAUUAACAGACCAACAUCAAUUUUUGAGUGUUGGAGAAGGGUUUAAGGAAAUGUAGCAGUCAGUUUUCUGGCUGUGUUAUAGACCUGAACUUUGAUACAAUGCUUAAGAUUGAGGAAAGCAGCCAACCUUUUAUAAAUGGGGGUGAGAUAAAUUAUUUUAUCUUUUUGGCUGAGGAUGUUGGUGUAAUAACUUUAAAUGACCCGUCUUGCAACGCGGACCAAGGAGUCUAACAUGCUUGCGAGUAUUUGGGUGAUUUUGAAACCCUUAUGCAGAAUGAAAGUAAAUGUAAAUGGGAUCUCUUUUUUUUUUUUUUUAAGAGAGGGAGCACCAUUGACCAGUCUUGAUUAUUUAUAUGAGGGUACUGAGUAAGAGCAAGUAUGUUGGGACCCGAAAGAUGGUGAACUAUGCCUGAAUAGGGUGAAGCCAGAGGAAACUCUGGUGGAAGCUCGUAGCGGUUCUGACGUGCAAAUCGAUCGUCAAAUUUGGGUAUAGGGGCGAAAGACUAAUCGAACCAU